AGUGAACGCUGGCGGUAGGCCUAACACAUGCAAGUCGAACGGCAGCACAGGAGAGCUUGCUCUCUGGGUGGCGAGUGGCGGACGGGUGAGGAAUACAUCGGAAUCUACUCUGUCGUGGGGGAUAGCGUAGAGAAACUUACGCUAAUACCGCAUACGACCUACGGGUGAAAGCAGGGGAUCUUCGGACCUUGCGCGAUUGAAUGAGCCGAUGUCGGAUUAGCUAGUUGGCGGGGUAAAGGCCCACCAAGGCGACGAUCCGUAGCUGGUCUGAGAGGAGGAUCAGCCACACUGGAACUGAGACACGGUCCAGACUCCUACGGGAGGCAGCAGUGGGGAAUAUUGGACAAUGGGCGCAAGCCUGAUCCAGCCAUACCGCGUGGGUGAAGAAGGCCUUCGGGUUGUAAAGGCCUUUUGUUGGGAAAGAAAUCCAGCUGGCUAAUACCCGGUUGGGAUGACGGUACCCAAAGAAUAAGCACCGGCUAACUUCGUGCCAGCCGCCGCGGUAA
Molecule: ribosomal RNA, 506 nt
Filed under: uncultured bacterium
Lineage: Bacteria
Description: partial 16S ribosomal RNA
Rfam family: Bacterial small subunit ribosomal RNA
Source: RNAcentral